This 263-nucleotide long non-coding RNA is filed under the name Hordeum vulgare. RNAcentral describes it as "long non-coding RNA (HVUL_LNC000191)". Lineage: Eukaryota; Viridiplantae; Streptophyta; Magnoliopsida; Poales; Poaceae. The record is from RNAcentral.
UACAUAUAUAAUAUGGUCAAGGGCAGAAUUGUACCCUCUAGGUGGAGCUUAUCUAGCCGUUCCUGCAUCCUUUAGUGUCCCUCAAACUUCUUCAUAUCCUUUAACCCUCUAAAUUUUGUGACACUAAACUUUUGUGCACGUAAUCCUUCCCCAUACUUAAACCCUCGACCAAACAUGACACCACAUGAAACCCUAUGUUCUUCUUCCUCCUUUUUUUCUUCUAGGCGGCCAACGAUGACAUCUGACCACUGCUCCCUCAGUUU